CCUACGAGAGGCAGCAGUGAGGACUAUUGGUCAAUGGUCGGGAGCCUGAACCAGCCAAGUCGCGUGAGGGAAGACGGUCCUAUGGAUUGUACACCUCUUUAGGCGGGGAGCCAUGCCGCGCACGCGUGCCCGGAGGGAGAGUACCCGCCGAAUAAUCAUCGGCUAACUCCGUGCCAGCAGCCGCGGUAAUACGGGGGAUGCGAGCGUUAUUCGGAUUUAUUGGGUUGAAAGGGUGCGUAGGCGGAUUUUUAAGUCAGCGGUAAAAUGUCCGGGCUCAACCCGGGCCGGCCGUUGAAACUGGGGAUCUUGAGUGGGCGAGAAGUAUGCGGAAGGCGUGGGGUAGCGGUGAAAUGCAUAGAUAUCACGCAGAACUCCGAUUGCGAAGGCAGCAUACCGGCGCCCGACUGACGCUGAGGCACGAAAGCGUGGGGAUCGAACAGGAUUAGAUACCCCGGUAGUC
Molecule: ribosomal RNA, 460 nt
Filed under: uncultured bacterium
Lineage: Bacteria
Description: partial 16S ribosomal RNA
Rfam family: Bacterial small subunit ribosomal RNA
Source: RNAcentral